GUGAAUCAUCGAGUCUUUGAACGCACCUUGCGCUCUUUGGUAUUCCAAAGAGCAUGCCUGUUUGAGUGUCAUGAAAUUCUCAAGUCUGUAGAUUUUUUAAUCUGCAUUGACCUGGACUUGGAGGUUGUGUCGGCUUCAUCCGUCGACUCCUCUGAAAUGCAUUAGCGCGAACGUUUACAAAUUCAGUGUGAUAAUUAUCUGCGCUGUCAUUGUUAACUGUCUCCUGCUUUACCGUCUUUUUAAAGACAAUUUUUGACAUCUGACCUCAAAUCAGGUAGGACUACCCGCUGAACUUAAGCAUAUCAAUAAGCGGAGG
RNAcentral lists this ribosomal RNA (316 nucleotides) under uncultured fungus. Its description in RNAcentral is "eukaryotic LSU rRNA". The stretch from base 1 to 71 matches the Rfam family "5.8S ribosomal RNA", at positions 84 to 154 of the family's 154-position model. Lineage: Eukaryota; Fungi. The record is from RNAcentral.